RNAcentral lists this ribosomal RNA (229 nucleotides) under uncultured bacterium. RNAcentral describes it as "partial 16S ribosomal RNA". It matches the Rfam family "Bacterial small subunit ribosomal RNA", at positions 568 to 796 of the family's 1533-position model. The record is from RNAcentral.
UGCGUAGGCGGGGCAAUUAGUCAGUGGUGAAAUCCUGCGGCUUAACCGUAGAACUGCCAUUGAUACUGUUGCCCUUGAGUAUAGUUGAGGUGGGCGGAAUGUGUAUUGUAGCGGUGAAAUGCAUAGAGAUUACACAGAACACCAAUUGCGAAGGCAGCUCACUAAGCUAUAACUGACGCUGAGGCACGAAAGCGUGGGGAGCGAACAGGAUUAGAUACCCUGGUAGUCC